This 66-nucleotide transfer RNA is filed under the name Cemus sauteri. RNAcentral describes it as "tRNA-Ile". The record is from RNAcentral. Lineage: Eukaryota; Metazoa; Arthropoda; Insecta; Hemiptera; Delphacidae.
AAAAAGGUGCCUGAUUAAAGGAAUAUUCUGAUAGAAUAUAUAAAGUAAAAAACUAUACCCUUUUUA